GACGAACGCUGGCGGCGUGCUUAACACAUGCAAGUCGAACGGAAAGGCCCUGCUUUUGUGGGGUGCUCGAGUGGCGAACGGGUGAGUAACACGUGAGUAACCUGCCCUUGACUUUGGGAUAACUUCAGGAAACUGGGGCUAAUACCGGAUAGGAGCUCCUGCUGCAUGGUGGGGGUUGGAAAGUUUCGGCGGUUGGGGAUGGACUCGCGGCUUAUCAGCUUGUUGGUGGGGUAGUGGCUUACCAAGGCUUUGACGGGUAGCCGGCCUGAGAGGGUGACCGGCCACAUUGGGACUGAGAUACGGCCCAGACUCCUACGGGAGGCAGCUGUGGGGAAUAUUGCACAAUGGGCGGAAGCCUGAUGCAGCAACGCCGCGUGCGGGAUGACGGCCUUCGGGUUGUAAACCGCUUUCGCCUGUGACGAAGCGUGAGUGACGGUAAUGGGUAAAGAAGCACCGGCUAACUACGUGCCAGCAGCCGCGGUGAUACGUAGGGUGCGAGCGUUGUCCGGAUUUAUUGGGCGUAAAGGGCUCGUAGGUGGUUGAUCGCGUCGGAGGUGUAAUCUUGGGGCUUAACCCUGAGCGUGCUUUCGAUACGGGUUGACUUGAGGAAGGUAGGGGAGAAUGGAAUUCCUGGUGGAGCGGUGGAAUGCGCAGAUAUCAGGAGGAACACCAGUGGCGAAGGCGGUUCUCUGGGCCUUUCCUGACGCUGAGGAGCGAAAGCGUGGGGAGCGAACAGGCUUAGAUACCCUGGUAGUCCACGCUGUAAACGGUGGGUACUAGGUGUGGGGUCCAUUCCACGGGUUCCGUGCCGUAGCUAACGCUUUAAGUACCCCGCCUGGGGAGUACGGCCGCAAGGCUAAAACUCAAAGGAAUUGACGGGGCCCCGCACAAGCGGCGGAGCAUGCGGAUUAAUUCGAUGCAACGCGUAGAACCUUACCUGGGUUUGACAUGGAUCGGGAGUGCUCAGAGAUGGGUGUGCCUCUUUUGGGGUCGGUUCACAGGUGGUGCAUGGCUGUCGUCAGCUCGUGUCGUGAGAUGUUGGGUUAAGUCCCGCAACGAGCGCAACCCUUGUUCACUGUUGCCAGCACGUUAUGGUGGGGACUCAGUGGAGACCGCCGGGGUCAACUCGGAGGAAGGUGGGGAUGACGUCAAGUCAUCAUGCCCCUUAUGUCCAGGGCUUCACGCAUGCUACAAUGGCUGGUACAGAGAGUGGCGAGCCUGUGAGGGUGAGCGAAUCUCGGAAAGCCGGUCUCAGUUCGGAUUGGGGUCUGCAACUCGACCUCAUGAAGUCGGAGUCGCUAGUAAUCGCAGAUCAGCAACGCUGCGGUGAAUACGUUCCCGGGGCUUGUACACACCGCCCGUCAAGUCAUGAAAGUUGGUAACACCCGAAGCCGGUGGCCUAACCGUUGUGGGGGAGCCGUCGAAGGUGGGACUGGUGAUUAGGACUAAGUCGUAACAAGGUAGCCGUACCGGAAGG
RNAcentral lists this ribosomal RNA (1477 nucleotides) under uncultured bacterium. RNAcentral describes it as "16S ribosomal RNA". It matches the Rfam family "Bacterial small subunit ribosomal RNA". The record is from RNAcentral.